GUAUGCAAAUGCCGUGCUCCUCUCUCCCGCCGUUCGCGGGCUACCGAGCGUCCUGAGAGCUCACUUGGUGUUACAGACAUAACCGUGGUGGCUUCUCAACCAGCUCGCUGUGACGGCAUCAAACACCAGGACUCAAACCCGGGACCUUUGGAUCCAGUCACUCUUCUGGCACUGGGAGUACCGCCUCCAGAAGUAAGAGAGUGCUAAGAAUAGUGCUCUAAAGUGUUCCUCUUAUUGAUAUGGUGAAUUAAAGUUAAACUGAGUUUUAAUAAUGAUUAUGUUACCAUGAUUGUGAUAGAAGUAUGUUUUUAUUAGUGUAAAAGUCCCUGGUAGUGAAGUAGAGGCUCCUGAAAUAAUUAAUUUAAAGUUAAUGCCCUUCAUUGUACUUCUACCAAAAUGUUUGCAAUGAAUGCACAGCUAAACUGUAGAGAGAUUAUAAGCAAGUAUCAAACUGCAUUGUGUACACCUGUGUAUCCCUGUACAUGUGACAUGAAUAUAAUAAAUCCAACUUGAUCCU
Esox lucius (northern pike) is the source of this 517-nucleotide long non-coding RNA. RefSeq lists it as uncharacterized. NCBI's taxonomy places the organism in Eukaryota, Metazoa, Chordata, Actinopteri, Esociformes, Esocidae. The transcript has 2 exons. The record is from RefSeq and is a predicted model, not a curated record.